GAAUGUGCCAGGGUCAAGUCUGUACUGAUUUUCAUGGUGAAUAGAUUACAUGCUUGCAUUCAUGUUCACUUCCGAAGCGCUUAGUGUCUUCCUUCCCUUACUUAAAUAUUAACCUCAAAUACCCUGUGCAGCUUCAGCCAAGCUUCACUGGAGGUAGCUCACAAUGUCGAGUUCCCGGGAAACAG
This is a non-coding RNA of Patagioenas fasciata monilis, 185 nucleotides long. NCBI's taxonomy places the organism in Eukaryota, Metazoa, Chordata, Aves, Columbiformes, Columbidae. The record is from Rfam.